This 545-nucleotide ribosomal RNA is filed under the name Alternaria tenuissima. Its description in RNAcentral is "eukaryotic LSU rRNA". The stretch from base 169 to 322 matches the Rfam family "5.8S ribosomal RNA". Lineage: Eukaryota; Fungi; Ascomycota; Dothideomycetes; Pleosporales; Pleosporaceae. The record is from RNAcentral.
UGGGGAUCAAUAUGAGGGCGGGCUGGACCUCUCGGGGUUACAGCCUUGCUGAAUUAUUCACCCUUGUCUUUUGCGUACUUCUUGUUUCCUUGGUGGGUUCGCCCACCACUAGGACAAACAUAAACCUUUUGUAAUUGCAAUCAGCGUCAGUAACAAAUUAAUAAUUACAACUUUCAACAACGGAUCUCUUGGUUCUGGCAUCGAUGAAGAACGCAGCGAAAUGCGAUAAGUAGUGUGAAUUGCAGAAUUCAGUGAAUCAUCGAAUCUUUGAACGCACAUUGCGCCCUUUGGUAUUCCAAAGGGCAUGCCUGUUCGAGCGUCAUUUGUACCCUCAAGCUUUGCUUGGUGUUGGGCGUCUUGUCUCUAGCUUUGCUGGAGACUCGCCUUAAAGUAAUUGGCAGCCGGCCUACUGGUUUCGGAGCGCAGCACAAGUCGCACUCUCUAUCAGCAAAGGUCUAGCAUCCAUUAAGCCUUUUUUUCAACUUUUGACCUCGGAUCAGGUAGGGAUACCCGCUGAACUUAAGCAUAUCAAUAAGCCGGAGGAA